RNAcentral lists this ribosomal RNA (488 nucleotides) under uncultured bacterium. RNAcentral's name for it is "bacterial SSU rRNA". It matches the Rfam family "Bacterial small subunit ribosomal RNA", at positions 28 to 517 of the family's 1533-position model. The record is from RNAcentral.
GAUGAACGCUGGCGGCGUGCCUAACACAUGCAAGUCGAACGGAGCUGCUUUGAUGAGAUCUUCGGAUGGAUUUAAAACAGCUUAGUGGCGGACGGGUGAGUAACGCGUGGGUAACCUGCCUUAUACAGGGGGAUAACAGUUGGAAACGACUGCUAAUACCGCAUAAGCGCACGGUAUCGCAUGAUACAGUGUGAAAAACUCCGGUGGUAUAAGAUGGACCCGCGUCUGAUUAGCUAGUUGGUGAGGUAACGGCCCACCAAGGCGACGAUCAGUAGCCGGCCUGAGAGGGUGAACGGCCACAUUGGGACUGAGACACGGCCCAAACUCCUACGGGAGGCAGCAGUGGGGAAUAUUGCACAAUGGGGGAAACCCUGAUGCAGCGACGCCGCGUGAGUGAUGAAGUAUUUCGGUAUGUAAAACUCUAUCAGCAGGGAAGAUAAUGACGGUACCUGACUAAGAAGCACCGGCUAAAUACGUGCCAGCAGCCG